Molecule: long non-coding RNA, 264 nt
Organism: Pundamilia nyererei
Lineage: Eukaryota; Metazoa; Chordata; Actinopteri; Cichliformes; Cichlidae
Exons: 2
Source: RefSeq, a predicted model, not a curated record
AUCAGCACAUAGUGCAAACAGAAGUCACAGUACCGAUGCAGAAGACUCUCCCACGUCAGAGGAUAUUUGGAUUGUGACCUGAGAUACUGAAGCUGAGAAAUCCUGUAGUGCUCACUGACCACACGAGUCUUUUAUUUGUGGAAAGCAUGUAUCACUUUUUGUUCUUCUGUUUUGUGUUCAACUAAUUUUGAUUGUUCAGGAUUUAGAAGUGAAACUAGGAAGUUGUAGAUUUUCACCAUGCUCUUAUAAAAAGCUCUUUCUAAA